RNAcentral lists this long non-coding RNA (3081 nucleotides) under Paramuricea clavata. The record is from RNAcentral. Lineage: Eukaryota; Metazoa; Cnidaria; Anthozoa; Malacalcyonacea; Plexauridae.
AAAAUAUAGUCCAUCUUGCCGAAGUAUUUCCGUAGUUUCGAAGAACGGCAUCUGUUCUACAUGCUGGCGAAUUUUUUUGGAAAACAAAGCGAUGUAAGUGGGAGAAUUUUCGAUUCGAAGUGACGUGCAGACGGAUCGAUAUGUGAGGGCAAAUUCGCGGAAAAUAUUAGUCCAACAAAAGAGGAAUAAAAGGAGAACACACACUAUCAAAUAGGCAAGUCAAUUUCAUUUUAAUUAUAAAAUUUAAUUUUAUGACAUAUUUUUACUAUACUGAUACAUUACUAUACAUUUUUACUAUACUGAUACAUAAAUCUCUGCUGACUCUCGCAUGAUUGGUCUGGACAAAUUUAAAAUUACCGACGACAAUCGUUAGACGUACUAAAAUCAAAAUUUCGCAACUUUUAUGCAAGGAUCUAAUGAAAGGUGUAUCCUUUGCUACAAAUUGACGUAUAUAAAGGAAAGAACGGGGAAUUCUACAGCGAUAUUUGGCGACUAAAGCGGUAAUCGCUACAGCGGAAGUGGGAAGGUUUUUGUAUUUUGACUAUGGCCACUAAUCACCAUGUAUAUUUUAAUUUUUAAAUUAUGGACACAAUGAAAGGCUUUACAAGUUUCAGUACAAGUAUUUAAUACUUUAUUUUAUUGAAGGUUUUAAGGAUUUUUGGAGCGGCUGCUACGCAGGCUACAAUACAGUCAAGCCGCAAAGUUUGCGUGCAGAAUGAAAUAUGAUACGAACGCCCACUGGCUCUACAGAGUACAGGAAUGUAUGUCCCUAUCCUCAAAUCUCAAUGGACAAUGCUAUGUGAAUGUUUAAUACAAUGUGAAAUAAAAGUAGAUUACGUUUGCAAAAAUUAAUUGCAAAAAAUUGCAAACGUAAUCACUUUAUGCGACCUAUCGACCUUUGAAAAGGGGUGUAGAUAAAAAGCGGACGGAUAAAAGGCGGACGGCGGACCCCGGACGGCGGACCGCGGAGCAUUUUAUAAACACAUGAUUACUACCGCAACUAAUAACAAUACCCUAAAUUAAAGUAUACCAACCCUAGAUCUGUGAAAUGAAUAUGUUUUCAUCUGUUUGAAUUUUUAGCAAUGAAAUUUAAUUGAAUCAGCAUUCAGUACAUAUGUAUGAUAGGAGGCUACUGUUCGCCGUCUUUCACAUGAAGCGUUUGGAAAUAUUGCAAAAAAGCGCCUUAGUUUUGGUGCUUCUAUAUAUAACUGCACUAACACUGUCAUUGAAUUAAAAUUUUAUUAGGGGGGGGGGGGGUAUUACAUGACAUUCACUUCCUGUAGUUUUCAUAGUUUAAAUUGUGCUGACUUGUUUUUUUAUAAUGAAAUUAAUCCCCAUUUUACUUACUAAAAGGCUAUCACGUCAGCAUGAGCUCCACCUUUGAAUUUACUAUAUGAGUAUCAUAAUAAUAAAUUCGCGGCACCUAACACUAACCCUAACCCCAACCCCAACUCCAACCCCAACCCUAACCACUAACCCAUAACCAUUAACCAUUAACCCCUAACCCCUAACUUUUUAAACUUUAUAAAUUUUUUUAACUUUUUUAAAAAUAUAACUUUUUAAACUUUUCUUGCUUUUCAAAACUCUUUUAAAACUUUUUAAAACUUUUUUAAAAACUAUUUUUUUAAAAAACUUGAAAAACUUGAGAAACUUCCCACCGCCGCGCGGCCGGCGUCCCUUUUAAUGCCAUUACAUUUAUAAUAAGAAAUCUUGUGUAAUGCUUGUGGUUUUAUGAUUAACUCUAUUGAUAAAUUCAAAAUGUGCCGCGAAUUUAUCAUAAUGAUAAAUUCGGACGUGUUUAAGAAUUUACUCAUAUAGUAAAUUCAAAGGUGGAGCUCAUGUUGAACAGGUAGCAAAAGUCCAUUCAUGUGAGUGCUUACACAUUACUAUUCCACUGUAUAUAAAUGUAGAACGAAAUUAUAACCUUCCCUAAGCCUUCAAAUACAUAUGAUAUAAUACCCAAUAUUUAGGCUGCACACAUAUAUACAUUUUUCAAACAGCUUGUUACACUGAUUACUGUGUGACGUUAACAUAGUAGAUAUUGUAAUAUAUUAUAUUUACAUAAAUAUGUCAGGAAAAUAUCAAUAACUCAAUACUGUUAAAGAAAUGACAAAUAUAUACAAUUGUAAAUAUAUACAAUUGUGAACGUUUGCAUGUCCAAACUUUACAAAAAAUUCUCAUUAUAUAUAUGAUACAAUGUUUCUAUACAAUGUAUAAUAGAUCCAUAGCCUAUACUCAAUACCUACUACCUAUAUGUGCCUACGAAAUAAAACAAUCGUUCAAGAGCCUUGAAUGACAGAAAAAUAUCGAGCAGCAUUAGGAGGUUUAAAAAAUUAUUGGGCUCAAUGAAAAUCCACCCCAUCAAAUGAUCCGCCCCUAUUACAUAAUAUUUCUAAAAUCCAUAUAUAUGUAGAAUAGUCGUCGCAUGCAAAUCGGCCAUUUGGCCCACUUCUACAUGUGAACCUCUUAGGUUUAUAAUUAAAACGAGGAUUAAUUUCAUUAUAAAACAACAAGCAGCACUAUUUAAAUUAUGAAAAUGUCAGCAAGUGAAUGUCAUUUAAUUCUGCCUAACAGAAGCUCCAAAUCUGAGGCGCUUUUUUACAAUAUUUCCAAACGUUUUCCGUGAACGACGGCGUAUAGCCUAUCAUAAAUACGUACUGGAUCAUAAUUUAAAUGCUAAUUAAAAAAUUCCAUUGCUAAAAAUUCGAACGGGUGAAAACAUAUUCAUUUCACAGAUUUAAAGCUGGUAUCAUUUAAUUUAAGGUAUAUUAUAAUUAGUUGCGGUAGUAAUCGUGUGUUUAUAAAAUGCUCCGCCGUCCACCGUCCGCGGUCCGUGGUCCUCGAAUGUGUUGGAUACUCAGUCGAACAAGAUCUUCUAUGACUAUGAGCGCUCGAUAACUGGCCUUUGCAUGUAGCUCAGUUUGUGGAAUCGCAGGGCCGCAUGCGCAGCGGUCCGAUUCCUGCCAGGGAUCUAAAGUUGUUUCCUGGUUAGGUCUAAUAAAUGUAUAUAAAUUUUUACUCGACAGUUUCCAUCUACAAAGAGGAUACAUCCCAAGGGGCUGAUGUUAUUUUCGGCGAAAG